RNAcentral lists this ribosomal RNA (500 nucleotides) under Brucella haematophila. RNAcentral's name for it is "bacterial SSU rRNA". It matches the Rfam family "Bacterial small subunit ribosomal RNA", at positions 94 to 628 of the family's 1533-position model. Lineage: Bacteria; Pseudomonadati; Pseudomonadota; Alphaproteobacteria; Hyphomicrobiales; Brucellaceae. The record is from RNAcentral.
GUAGCAGUACGGGUGAGUAACGCGUGGGAAUCUACCAUUUGCUACGGAACAACUCCGGGAAACUGGAGCUAAUACCGUAUGUGCCCUAACGGGGAAAGAUUUAUCGGCAAAUGAUGAGCCCGCGUUGGAUUAGCUAGUUGGUGGGGUAAAGGCCUACCAAGGCGACGAUCCAUAGCUGGUCUGAGAGGAUGAUCAGCCACACUGGGACUGAGACACGGCCCAGACUCCUACGGGAGGCAGCAGUGGGGAAUAUUGGACAAUGGGCGCAAGCCUGAUCCAGCCAUGCCGCGUGAGUGAUGAAGGCCCUAGGGUUGUAAAGCUCUUUCACCGGUGAAGAUAAUGACGGUAACCGGAGAAGAAGCCCCGGCUAACUUCGUGCCAGCAGCCGCGGUAAUACGAAGGGGGCUAGCGUUGUUCGGAUUUACUGGGCGUAAAGCGCACGUAGGCGGACUUUUAAGUCAGGGGUGGAAAUCCCGGGGCUCAACCCCGGGAACUGCCCU